Long non-coding RNA from Oncorhynchus tshawytscha (Chinook salmon), 313 nucleotides. The record is from Ensembl. NCBI's taxonomy places the organism in Eukaryota, Metazoa, Chordata, Actinopteri, Salmoniformes, Salmonidae.
CUCAACUCGGGAAACUGAUCUAAAGGUGCACCAUAAAUAAGCUCUUUCCAAACAGAUACACAAAGUCCAUGAGGGGGAGCUGACGGGAGAUCCGGAGCAACUGAGGGUAAAGGUCGGCGAUUGGGUAAGGAUCAAGGUCCACAAAAGAAAGUGGGCGGAUCCCAGGUGGACUGGACCGUACGAAGUGAAGGAGGUUACCUCACACUCAGUCCAGGUCAAAGGAGCCGAGGACCUUGUUCUGCGGAUCCAGGGAGUGAAUCCCGGAUAUAGGGGACGUUCCAGGAGAGACACCACCCCAUCUAGUGGAGACCCC